UGGUCCUGGCCUUGAAAUCAGUUUUUGCUUAAUUUACACAUGCAAGUUUCCGCACCCCUGUGAGAACACCCUUUCCCCCCCCCAUCGGAACAAGGAGUUGGUAUCAGGCACAAUAAUUAGCCCAAGACACCUAGCCACGCCACACCCACAAGGGACCUCAGCAGUGAUUAACAUUGAGCAUAAGUGACAACUUGACUCAGUCAAAGCAAAAAGGGCCGGCAAAUCCGGUGCCAGCCGCCGCGGGUAGACCACGUAGGCCCAAAUUGAUCUCUUUCGGCGUAAAGCGUGAUAUAAGUUUUCUUUCACUUGUAGUCGAACUAAAAUUAAGUAGUGUUAAGCCCAUGCCCAAGAAGAUCAAAAACGAAAGUUACUGCAUACAAAACAACUCGAACUCACGACAGUGGGGAUACAAACUGGGAUUAGGUACCCCACUAUGCCCCACCGUAAACCUUUAAUUACAUCCACAUCGCCAGGGAACUACGAGCUAUGCUUAAAACCCAAAGGACUUGACGGUACCUCAAAUCCCCUAGAGGAGCCUGUUCUUUAAUCGAUAUUCCACGUUAUACCUCACCAUUUUUAGCUUAUCCGUCUGUAUACCUCCGUCGCCAGCUUACCACGUGAGCGAUCCUUAGUAGGCAUAAUGCCCAUUCCGCCAAAACGUCAGGUCAAGGUGCAACUGAUAAAAUGGGAAGAGAUGGGCUACACUCUCUAAAAUAGAAAAAUACGAAUAACUAUCAUGAAAUAAUAGUUAGAAGGUGGAUUUAGUAGUAAAAGAGGAUCAGAACGCCCCUUUUAACCUGGUAUUGGGGUGUGUACACACCGCCCGUCACCCCCUUCAGAAUACAUAAAUAGUAUAUAACACACUCACAUUCAAAGAAGGGGCAAGUCGUAACAUGGUAAGCAUACCGGAAGGUGUGCUUGGAAA
Molecule: non-coding RNA, 925 nt
Filed under: Myersiohyla inparquesi
Lineage: Eukaryota; Metazoa; Chordata; Amphibia; Anura; Hylidae
Description: partial 12S ribosomal RNA
Rfam family: Bacterial small subunit ribosomal RNA
Source: RNAcentral